CUGGGUAAGUCGGGGCCUAAGGCGAGGUCGAAAGACGUAGUCGAUGGAUAACAGGUUGAAAUUCCUGUACUAUCCUGUAACAGAACUGUGGGGACGCAGACAGAGAGCACAAGCCGGGAAUGGAAAGACCGGUGCAAGCGAGGUAGGAGUACAUCAGGCAAAUCCGGUGUGCAAUCCGAAGACGUGAUGCGGAUCGAAAAGAAGUAGAGAAGUGUGUGAGCUGGCUGCCAAGAAAAGCCGCUAUUGUUUACAGGAUACCCGUACCGUAAACCGACACAGGUGGAUGAGGAGAGAAUCCUAAGGCCGACGGGAGAAGCAUUGUUAAGGAACUCGGCAAAAUGACUCCGUAACUUCGGGAGAAGGAGUGCCAUGCGAAUGGCCGCAGAGAAUUGGCCCAAGCAACUGUUUAGCAAAAACACAGGUCUAUGCGAAACCGAAAGGUGAGGUAUAUGGGCUGACGCCUGCCCGGUGCUGGAAGGUUAAGGGGAGAGGUUAGCGCAAGCGAAGCUUUGAACUUAAGCCCCAGUAAACGGCGGCCGUAACUAUAACGGUCCUAAGGUAGCGAAAUUCCUUGUCGGGUAAGUUCCGACCCGCACGAAAGGCGUAAUGAUUUGGGCACUGUCUCAACAAUGCACCCGGUGAAAUUGAAAUACCAGUGAAGAUGCUGGUUACCUGCGCCAGGACGGAAAGACCCCAUGGAGCUUUACUCCAGCUUGAUACUGGGAUUCGGUAUUGCAUGUACAGGAUAGGUGGGAGGCUAGGAAGAGAAGACGCCAGUCUUUUUGGAGCCGCUGUUGGGAUACCACCCUUGCAGUGCUGGGUUUCUAACCUGCAGCCGUGAUCCGGCUGGGGGACAAUGUCAGGUGGGGAGUUUGACUGGGGCGGUCGCCUCCGAAAGGGUAUCGGAGGCGCUCAAAGGUUCCCUCAGAAUGGUCGGAAACCAUUCGAAGAGUGCAAAGGCAGAAGGGAGCUUGACUGCGACACCGACGGGUGGAGCAGGUACGAAAGUAGGACUUAGUGAUCCGGUGGUAUAAAGUGGGAUUGCCAUCGCUCAACGGAUAAAAGCUACCCUGGGGAUAACAGGCUUAUCACUCCCAAGAGUUCACAUCGACGGAGUGGUUUGGCACCUCGAUGUCGGCUCAUCGCAUCCUGGGGCUGUAGUAGGUCCCAAGGGUUGGGCUGUUCGCCCAUUAAAGCGGUACGCGAGCUGGGUUCAGAACGUCGUGAGACAGUUCGGUCCCUAUCCGGCGUGGGCGUAGGAUAUUUGAGAGGAGCUGCCCUUAGUACGAGAGGACCGGGGUGGACUGGCCGCUGGUGUAUCUGUUGUAUUACCAAGUGCAUAGCAGAGUAGCCAAGCCGGGAAGGGAUAAACGCUGAAGGCAUCUAAGCGUGAAGCCCCCCUCAAGAUGAGAUAUCCCAUAACGUCAAGUUAGUAAGACCCCUUGAAGACGACGAGGUAGAUAGGGCAGAGGUGGAAGUGUGGUAACACAUGGAGCUGACUGUUACUAAUAGGUCGAGGGCAUAACCA
RNAcentral lists this ribosomal RNA (1528 nucleotides) under human gut metagenome. RNAcentral's name for it is "bacterial LSU rRNA". It matches the Rfam family "Bacterial large subunit ribosomal RNA", at positions 1375 to 2925 of the family's 2925-position model. The record is from RNAcentral.